GGCUGUGGCUCUCCAGGACCAAUGCUCGCCACCCCUGGUCUAGACAGUGUACAAAUAUAUGACAUUUUUAUGGUGGUCUGUCAGUUAUUAUUUAUAUGAAAACAGAGGACGACUGAAGUAUGAACAAAAUGCAACAAUACUGAGAUGUUGCACAAUGCAGCUGUUUGGACUCUCAUUCUGAUGGCACCCAUCCACUGCAGAAGAUCCAUUGGUGAGCAAGUGAUGGGAUACAAAAAUUCUCCAAAUCUCUUCUGAUAAAGAAACAAACUCAUCCACCUCUUGGAUGGCCUAGGCCUUUACAUGUGCAUUAUGAAGAGUCUUCUUCACUUCUUCUUCAUUCAUCACAACAAUCAAGUACCGAGGCCUGUCGACCUCACUCAAAUGGAAGCCUUUGUUUUCAUUUACGACCGUUUACACAAACAUCACCAACGUUCUCCAGAGUGUCAUGUGAUGAAACCCAUGAAAGGGCAAGGCUUGUUUAAAUGGCAUUUUGAUGGCAUUUGUGUGCCCCCUUUAACCUUUCGCUGAGUUUCAUUUUUCUACUUUGAUUAAAUUUUAUUUUGGC
Long non-coding RNA from Cyprinus carpio carpio, 565 nucleotides. Lineage: Eukaryota; Metazoa; Chordata; Actinopteri; Cypriniformes; Cyprinidae. The record is from Ensembl.